CAGUGGAUCCGAACUUUCGACGUAACCCUAAUCCGAUGAGAUUAGGUACCCGAGGAGUCCCAAUCAGCUUGGACUCUUCUAAAUUGAUUUCAGAAUCAAAUUUUUUUAAUUUUUAUUAAGCUCACAAGUCAAGAUUGAUAUCUAACAAUAUGUCAUGACUAUCCAAAAGAUUUAAAAUUUUGAUAAAAAAUUAUCAGAAUACCCUUCAGUGGAAAAUUUUUGUGUAAUUCAAUCCUUCAG
Molecule: long non-coding RNA, 240 nt
Filed under: Elaeis guineensis (African oil palm)
Lineage: Eukaryota; Viridiplantae; Streptophyta; Magnoliopsida; Arecales; Arecaceae
Description: long non-coding RNA (EGUI_LNC039011)
Source: RNAcentral